Molecule: RNA transcript, 4920 nt
Organism: Strigops habroptila (Kakapo)
Lineage: Eukaryota; Metazoa; Chordata; Aves; Psittaciformes; Psittacidae
Gene: ZHX2
Gene name: zinc fingers and homeoboxes 2
Exons: 4
Source: RefSeq, a predicted model, not a curated record
CUUGACACUGCUUUGACAUAUUUACGUUCUUCCGCGACUAUUCAGUUGCAAUAACUUGGAGCUCCUCUGCUGACACUCUCCUACCAGCCAGUCCCCAGCCCUACACAGGAUAGGGAAAGAAAACGUUGCCCAAAGAAGUUACCCAGGUGGGUCGAGGUCUGCAGCCCGGCUCUGACCGCACGCUGGUGAUCCGGGGCAAGGCGAGAGCAAGUGGAUGUUCAAAGCCUUUGUAGCUUUAACUCUACAAUUAAAAGAUUGAUUUAAUGCGACCUAAUCAAAGACACCGCAUGGCAGAUAGCACACCCCUGAAGUUACGGUGAGAUUAUGCUACUCGUAAAUCCUAUCAGCCUGGACUUGUUGGAAGAUCUGCUAUCUAGUAGCAAGAUACAAUCGGUAAAUUAUUUCUUUUAAUUAAUUCAUUGAAGUAAAGAGAAAAUAGCCUGGGUCCUAUCUGUCUACAUCUCUUUGGCAGAAAGGCAAAGAGGUACAAGAGUUCAGCGACAGUUUUAAAUGGGGGGAAGGAUUCCCGCGGUGCAGCAGAGGAGCAGAGAUUGCAACAGCAGCAUCCCUCGGAAAUACACACCACCUUCUGCAAAGCAAUAAACACCCAUCGCCUGAAGACCACUAAAACCGGCUGGCUUGGAAAACCUCCAUCACAAGCCGAGGAUGAAGAAAUGCCUCCUACCUCCCCAGGUAUCAGAAGUUCUGCUCGCCUUCAGAGAGGUAUAAGUACUGAGAUUCCCGGGAUGUAAGAAAUACAGUGCUGUGUCAUGCAGCUGACAGGUCUGCUGGUGGAGCUGAUGCUCAUAACCGGGACAGAAAGUCUUCAUUAAACAAAACAGAGUUAAAUAAUCAAGGGAAGUUGGAGCUGUUUGCAAGAUCUGUUGAGUUUUGACAGCUCACCCUGUCAAAAAGUCAUCAUCUGGGACGACAGUGUGCUGCCAGCGGCUGUGAUGGCUAGCAAAAGAAAAUCAACAACUCCCUGUAUGGUGCGAACUUCGGAAGUCAUGGAGCAGGAAGGCACCGAGGGCAUGGAGGUCCCUAAAGAGAAGGGGGGUGGUGGUGCACCGCAACAGGACUCUCAAAAGAAUUGGCCUUCAGAAAGCUUGGUCAAAGACUGUGAAGUGGUUGAGGCAAAACCCCCAGCCGAAAGUCAGUCCAAGAAGCCCCAGGGCGGUUAUGAGUGUAAAUACUGCCCUUACUCAACACAAAACUUAAAUGAAUUUACAGAGCAUGUUGACACUCAGCAUCCAAAUGUCAUUCUGAACCCCCUGUAUGUCUGUGCUGAAUGCAACUUCACAACCAAAAAAUACGAUUCUUUAUCUGACCACAACACAAAAUACCACCCAGGGGAGACUAACUUUAAACUGAAAUUAAUUAAGCGCAAUAAUCAGACUGUUUUAGAGCAGUCUAUUGAGACCACUGCUAACGAUGUCACUGCCACAAGCGGUGGGUUAGAAACUGCAGAGUGCGAUGAUUCACUUCAUGGGGGAAUUAGUGCAAAUAAAACGCCAAUGAUGAAACUGGGAAAGCCUAAAGGAGAAACCAAGAAGGGACCCAAAAAGCCAGAAGAGGGAGUUACGGAAAACCAUGUGGAUGGCACUCUCCCCCGCAUCAUAACUGAAGCCACUGAAGCUAUUGCUUGUAUAAAUGGAGACCUUCUCCAUGAUGUGUUAGCCCAUGUUAUGCCCUCUGUACAGCUGCCACCAAAUAUUAACCUUGUCCCCAAGGUCCCGGUACCUCUGAACAGUACCAAAUACAACUCUGCACUGGACACUAAUGCAACCAUGAUCAACUCCUUUAAUAAAUUUCCUUACCCAACACAAGCAGAAUUGUCAUGGUUGACAGCAGCAUCAAAACAUCCCGAAGAACAAAUCCGAAUCUGGUUUGCUACGCAACGUUUGAAGCAUGGUAUAAGUUGGUCUCCUGAAGAGGUGGAGGAGGCAAGAAAGAAGAUGUUCAAUGGUACUAUCCAGGCAGUUCCCCAAACCAUCACCGUCCUGCCAGCUCCUUUGACAACUGCAAAAAUGCCCCAGCCCAUCAUCCAGACAGCUUUGCCUUGUCAGAUACUGGGCCAGACCGGUCUGGUUUUGACUCCUGUGUCAAAUGGUUCAACUGUUUCCUGUUCACCAAUUACGCUUGCUGUUGCCCCAAACCAGGGGCAAAAGAGGACGAUACAGACGUUAUCAAGUGCCCCAGAGGCCAAGCGUCCUCACGUGGUUCAGGUGCCUGAGAUGCCUGCCAAACUGACUGCUGUACCACUGACACCAGCCAGUGAGCGAAAAAAGACAAAGGAGCAGAUAGCAGAACUGAAGACCAGUUUCAUGGCAAGCCAGUUUCCUGACGAUGCAGAAGUCUACCGGCUGAUAGAGGCAACGGGUCUCUCCAGGAGUGAGAUCAAGAAGUGGUUCAGUGACCAUAGGUACAGAAGUCAAAGGGGUAUUGUGCACAUCCCUGGCGAUGCUUUAGGGAAGGAUCAAAUAGCACCUUCAGGGGGUCGACACAGCCGCUUGUUCCACCCAUACACAGAUUUUGCUCCUCAGAGAUUCAAAGAGAAAACCCAAGAACAGCUUAGGGUCCUUGAGGAGAGCUUCCUAAGAUGCUCUUUUCCUACCCAAGGAGAAUUGGACAGGCUUCGAGUAGAAACUAAGCUGAGUAGGAGGGAAAUAGAUUCAUGGUUCUCUGAGCGGAGAAAGAUACGGGACAGCAUGGAGCAAGCUGUCUUGGACUCAAUGGGAUCAUACAGAAAAAUUAAGGAGCAAGGAACUCCCAAUGGUGGAAUAAGCCAAGCAGAACUGCUGAGUAGCUCUCAGCUCCCUGGUGCUCUAUCUGGAUCCUCCACCACAUUUAAGAAAACUCAAGAGCAGAUUCAUCUACUGAAAAGCACAUUCGCAAGGACCCAGUGGCCAUCGCCGCAGGAGUACGACCAGUUAGCAUCUCAGACUGGGCUGACAAGAACUGAGAUAGUUCGCUGGUUCAAGGAAAACCGGUCUUCACUAAGAACAGGGUCACUUAAAUGGAUAGACCAGUACCAGAAGCAGUACAUUGUUGAUGGUCAUAACGAGCAAAGCCAGAAAAAGGGCUCAAAACUCAUUGAGAGUCCAAAGAAUGGUAAUGAGGUGUCUCGGCAGCAUUACCAGGAGCAUAAAAAACUGAAUGAAGAGAAUGGGGGGAAACCAGUGGUGAGAGCAAAAAGAGACUGUGAGCCACUGAAAGACUCUUUGUUGGGGAAUCAAGUGGAGGGUAUGGACAGGUUGGAGUGCAACAGCCAUGACGGCCAUGGCAGCGAGGAGAACGAAGAGCCAGCGGAGGUCAACUGGGUGGAGGUGACGGUGGGUGAGGAUGAUGCUGCAUCGGACUGUACGGACAGCUGGAGCCAAACGGCACCCGAAGGCCAGGCAGAGCUGGCGGACUUUGACUCUGAAAGUAUAUCUGGAGAAAAUGCCCACGUAUAGACAGGUAAUGCUGAUGGUGCCCUGUUUCUCUGAGCCUGCCUCUGUCUGGGUGUGCUUCCAGCAUCCUGUAGCCCCUCUUCCGUAUAAAUUCCUGGAGCCCAUCCCUGCCGGAUCCCUGUGCCUGCUGGAUGUCUGAACAAAAGGGAGACCCAUCCUGCUUGUAAAUUAAAGCAACUGCAUGGGGUACUCCUCAGCUGCACUGUCCUGACGUUGAAGGGGAAAUGCUAUCUGAAAAUAGAAGAAAACUCUAUUUUCCUGCCUGGGGUGAGGUAGUGUGUUGCGACUCCAAGCCUCAAACCUUGCUUGCGGAGGCACAGCGAGAAAUACUCUCAUGGAGCAUCAUCAUGGGAUGGUUUAUAGUGCCAAAGUCCUACUACUGCAUUAAAAAGCAAAGAAAGAAAGAAAGAGAAAAGGGUCCUUGUACAUAAGUUUCUCCUUUGCUUUUCUCCCACCCACUUUCCUGCCUAGCCUCUUCCUCUACUGGAACAGAUUUGUACAAUGUGGAGAUUUUGUUAACUUUUUAAUAGGUGCAAGUUAUUCUUGCAUAUAAUGCCACUGCAAAAUUUGGGGUUGGGUUGGGGGAGGGAGGUAUCUUUUGGGGGGGAGAGGAGAUUUUUUUUUUUCCUGAUGUGUUUUAAGACAGAUUUGCAAUUUUUUGGAGUCCUGUUGGUGCGGAUCAACAUCUGAGCCCAGAUCCCCAGCCCAGUUUACAUUUCAGCCCACUUAAACGCAUUACAGGGUUGGGGAGGGUCCUUCUGGAGUGGUUGGGAUUUGGUUUUGUUCUUGUUGUUUUGACUUGUUUUGUUUUAUGGCCACCAGCUACUGGUUAAGUAUUUCAAUCUCUUGCUUUUCCAUGCUCCUACAAGGCGAGUCUUCUCUCGCUCCCAUAUUUCACUCUUCACAAGCCAGCCCCAGCUGUGGGUCUCUGAAGAUUUGGCUAGAAUGCCUUUUUUGUUUGGGUUAUUUUUUAGCACUUUUUGUUUAAAAACGCAGCACAACCCCCAGAGGGGAGGAAAUCAAGAUGCUUCAUAAUCUGAACUCUGUUUGUGUUUCUUUGGCUGGUACAAUGAUGGACGCCAUAGCCAGCAGCCUGCCCUCCAGCUUUAGAUGUUGUAGCGCACAAAGACAUUUUUGAUUAACCCUUGCCACUAAAUUUUUAGGUCAAUCCUAGGUUCCUGAGUGCACUUUUCUUACAAAUACUGCUACUUUGGGUUUGUGUGGAGGUGUCUGUCCGUGCACGUGUGAGGAGGAGGAGGAGGGAGAUGGGGAUUGUGGGUGCAUAGGCGAGCGGGUGCAAUUGCUGUCUGGUGCGUUCCUCUGACGAGCUGGGUUCAGAAACCUUGGCCACCUUUCAGUACGCUGCACAAAUAGGAUGCUAGGGAGUUUGAAUAAAUCCAACUUUUCUAACUUGUUGCUCAUUUGUUGUAACUCAAUAAAACAAAGGCUGAACAUUUUGGUAACCUUU